Long non-coding RNA from Folsomia candida, 760 nucleotides. RefSeq lists it as uncharacterized. NCBI's taxonomy places the organism in Eukaryota, Metazoa, Arthropoda, Collembola, Entomobryomorpha, Isotomidae. The transcript has 2 exons. The record is from RefSeq and is a predicted model, not a curated record.
CGUUGGUGGAUAAAACCAAGUUUUCACCCUUUCCGUUCCGUAUCCGCAUUUACAACUUCAAAUUGGACAUUGAAUCCUUCACUAUUAUGCAUCCUUGUGAUGGUGAUGGAAAUUAUGCGUGCGUUGGGUGUCCGCUGCACGUUGUUUUCAGCUAUUAUAAAAACAACGUGAUAAUUUCAAAAUCCAUCAGUCCACAAUUGCAUACCAACCAUUUCAUGCCUGACAUUCAAUCCGGGGAGUAAAAUCGGAACCAUAUUUCUAUUGUUAUAAAGGACUACACAAAUUUACUAGAUUCAAAUAAAAUGAAUACCUUGUCCAGCACCCUAUUUGUCGCGGCCUCAGUUGCCGUUUUGGUAAUCAGUUUUAGCUUGAGGUCAGAAUGUGGACUGUUGAGCAGACGCAUUGUUAGUGAAAAUUCGCCUGCAACCAAAGAAGAAGUUCGAGUUGGGGAUCAUUUUCCAGGAAGAGUGCGAGUGCGGGUGAAUCCACUGGAAUCUAUUUUGGCAAGGGCCCAAGACCUGAGUCCCGUCAAGAUUGAGAACGACAAGGGGAUGAUAAAAGUCCAGUUUCGGCGAGUCCUACCAAAAGUCAUGGGAUACAUGGGAGAAGCCGUACACAGGUUUCAGAAUAAUUUAUCUGAUCUGCUGUCCAAAACGGUCUACGGUUAAGUCUGUGUUAAAAACUUUAAGUUAUUGUUGUUUUUUUAAUACCAAAAAAUAAUGCGCUUUGAUACUCAAUAAACUCUCAUCUAGAAAUCAUA